GAACGCUGGCGGCAGGCCUAACACAUGCAAGUCGAGCGGAUGAAGGGAGCUUGCUCCUGGAUUCAGCGGCGGACGGGUGAGUAAUGCCUAGGAAUCUGCCUGGUAGUGGGGGAUAACGUCCGGAAACGGGCGCUAAUACCGCAUACGUCCUGAGGGAGAAAGUGGGGGAUCUUCGGACCUCACGCUAUCAGAUGAGCCUAGGUCGGAUUAGCUAGUUGGUGGGGUAAAGGCCUACCAAGGCGACGAUCCGUAACUGGUCUGAGAGGAUGAUCAGUCACACUGGAACUGAGACACGGUCCAGACUCCUACGGGAGGCAGCAGUGGGGAAUAUUGGACAAUGGGCGAAAGCCUGAUCCAGCCAUGCCGCGUGUGUGAAGAAGGUCUUCGGAUUGUAAAGCACUUUAAGUUGGGAGGAAGGGCAGUAAGUUAAUACCUUGCUGUUUUGACGUUACCAACAGAAUAAGCACCGGCUAACUUCGUGCCAGCAGCCGCGGUAAUACGAAGGGUGCAAGCGUUAAUCGGAAUUACUGGGCGUAAAGCGCGCGUAGGUGGUUCAGCAAGUUGGAUGUGAAAUCCCCGGGCUCAACCUGGGAACUGCAUCCAAAACUACUGAGCUAGAGUACGGUAGAGGGUGGUGGAAUUUCCUGUGUAGCGGUGAAAUGCGUAGAUAUAGGAAGGAACACCAGUGGCGAAGGCGACCACCUGGACUGAUACUGACACUGAGGUGCGAAAGCGUGGGGAGCAAACAGGAUUAGAUACCCUGGUAGUCCACGCCGUAAACGAUGUCGACUAGCCGUUGGGAUCCUUGAGAUCUUAGUGGCGCAGCUAACGCGAUAAGUCGACCGCCUGGGGAGUACGGCCGCAAGGUUAAAACUCAAAUGAAUUGACGGGGGCCCGCACAAGC
RNAcentral lists this ribosomal RNA (904 nucleotides) under Pseudomonas aeruginosa. RNAcentral's name for it is "bacterial SSU rRNA". It matches the Rfam family "Bacterial small subunit ribosomal RNA", at positions 31 to 930 of the family's 1533-position model. The record is from RNAcentral. Lineage: Bacteria; Pseudomonadati; Pseudomonadota; Gammaproteobacteria; Pseudomonadales; Pseudomonadaceae.